Molecule: ribosomal RNA, 533 nt
Filed under: uncultured Acidobacteriota bacterium
Lineage: Bacteria; Pseudomonadati; Acidobacteriota
Description: bacterial SSU rRNA
Rfam family: Bacterial small subunit ribosomal RNA
Source: RNAcentral
AGAGUUUGAUCAUGGCUCAGAAUCAACGCUGGCGGCGUGCCUAACACAUGCAAGUCGAACGCGAAAAGGGCUUCGGCUCUUAGUAGAGUGGCGAACGGGUGAGUAACACGUGGGUGACCUACCUUCGAAUGGGGGAUAACGUCCCGAAAGGGACGCUAAUACCGCAUAACAUCCUGCUUUUGAACAGGUGGAGAUCAAAGCCGGGGAUCGCAAGACCUGGCGUUUGAAGAGGGGCCCGCGCCUGAUUAGCUAGUUGGUGAGGUAACGGCCCACCAAGGCGACGAUCAGUAUCCGGCCUGAGAGGGCGGACGGACACACUGGGACUGAGACACGGCCCAGACUCCUACGGGAGGCAGCAGUGGGGAAUUGUUCGCAAUGGGCGCAAGCCUGACGACGCAACGCCGCGUGGAGGAUGAAGGUCUUCGGAUUGUAAACUCCUGUUGCUCGGGACGAAAAGCUUCGACCUAACACGUCGAAGUCUGACGGUACCGGGUGAGGAAGCCCCGGCUAACUCUGUGCCAGCAGCCGCGGUA